UAUAGGUCCAAUGUCAACUAAAGGUGAUAUUGGAGAGAAUUUGCCAGCCCCUAUGUCUUCACAGAAUGUAAUGCCAGCAAGAAAAUGGAAGCGAAUGGCUAGAGAUGGUUCUUCAGGUUCGCAAGAUCGGGAGGGAAUCUUGUUAGGUGUUGGUUUAAGGGGAGGUGUCGUAUUUGAUUCAGAUAAGGAGUCACAGAAGAAUGAUGUUUUCUCUGAGGCCUUAGUGGCUGGCCUAAAGCCACCGGUGAAACCAUGACAACCAUUGCCUGAAACUGCCAGGGGAUUGGGCAACCCUGGUCAGUUUGAGCUCUUAGAGAGCUUAUAAAGAAAUAUCACCCCUCCAUAAUCUAUCUCAUGGAAACAAAGAAUAAGGUAGGAUUUAUGGAGUUCUUGCGAAGGAGAAUUGGAAGGGAUUUUGGGAACAGCUACUAUGUGGAGCCGAAUGGUCUUUCAGGAGGACUAGCCCUUUGGUGGAAUGAUAACGUUCAUAUAAAUAUUUUGGCUUCUUCUAGCAAUAUUGUGGAAGCCAAUGUUCUUUUGCAUGAUCGCAAUGUUUCUUGGCAUAUGUCUUUUGUGUAUGGCAGUCCAGCUAGAGAAAACAAAGCUAAAAUUUGGGAAGCUUUGGGCAACUUAAAUUUUGCAACUUCAGAAUUAUGGGCUUGUAUUGGGGAUUUUAAUUCCAUUAUCUCUCAAGAUGAAAAAUGGGGAGGAAAUGACAUGAGGAACUCUCAGGUUCAGGAUAUGAUACAGUUUAUUAAUCAAGCUGCUCUUUUGGACUUAGAGUGCAAGGGACCUCCCUUUACUUGGUACAAUAAGCAGUUUGGGGAGAAUGCUAUUCAAGAACGCCUUGACAGAGUCUUAGUCUCGAUUUAGUGGAGAGAAUCCUUUCCGAAGGCUUAUGUUGUACAUGAAUCUUUGUUAGGCUCUGACCACAGGUCUAUAGUUUUGCUCCUAGAUUCUCCUAUUACUCGAAAAAUUUUUUUGUUUCGGUUUGAGGAAAAAUGGCUUCAGCAUCCAGAUUGUAACUCUGUCAUAGCAACAGCUUGGAAACAGCCAAUUACAGGUUCCCCCAUGUUCUCGGCAGUGCAGAAGCUAAAAUCAUGUCGAAAGUCUCUAGCCAGAUGGAAUACUGAAGUGUUUUGUGGUAAUAAAGCUAAAAUUAAGAACCUUCAUCUUCAACUGGAGAACCUGUAUAAUCAUCCUAUGGAGGAGGGGAAUAGAGAAGUUGAAUAUCAGAUAUUGUCUCGCCUCAAUGAGUUAUGUAAAAGAGACGAAGCUCACUGGAAACAGCAUUCUCGUAUAUCAUGGCUGAUAGAGGGGGACAAGAAUACUCGUUUCUUCCAUUUAUCUACCAUCCAAAGGUGGCAUCGCAAUUCAAUUGUUAGAUUACAGAAAGCCAAUGGUGAAAUGGAUUGACGCUGAGCAUCAUAUAAAGGAAGAAAUAGUUUCUUACUUCCAGAAUUUAUAUAGUAAGAGCCCCACUCAAGGCGAAGAAGAUGUUAUUAGUUUCCUUCCCAAAUGUGUUACUCCAGAGAUGAACAACUCCCUGCUAGCUCUGGUGAUAAAUGAGGAAAUUAAAACUGUUGCUUUUGCUUUAGGAGGAUCAAAGGCUCUUGGACCGGAUAGUUUCUCAGGGCUAUUUUAUCAACAAAAUUGGGAUACAGUAGGGGAAGAUGUCUGUUGUGCUAUCAAAAUUGUUUUGUAUCUGGUUAUACGCAUAGGGAAAUCAAUAGAACUAAUAUUGUUCUGAUUCCCAAAUGUAAAAGUCCCUUUGCAAUUAA
RNAcentral lists this unclassified non-coding RNA (1781 nucleotides) under Hevea brasiliensis (rubber tree). Lineage: Eukaryota; Viridiplantae; Streptophyta; Magnoliopsida; Malpighiales; Euphorbiaceae. The record is from RNAcentral.